UUGAGCUGUUAUGGUAACUUGGUGAUUUGGUUAUGGUUUCAAUGAAUAAAUGUGCUGAUAUGGGUUUUGUGUCUUUGCAGACUGAUCUGCGUUUCCAGAGCCAUGCGGUGUUGGCACUGCAGGAGGCUGCUGAGGCCUACCUUGUGGGUCUGUUUGAGGACACCAACCUUUGCGCCAUCCAUGCCAAGCGGGUUACCAUCAUGCCGAAGGAUAUCCAGCUUGCCAGGAGGAUCAGGGGUGAGCGUGCUUAAGUGAUGCGCCUGUCUUGCAACGUUGAGGGCUGUUGUUAUGGCUGCAGAUGGGAUUGAAGGGGUGGUAUGUAAAAUGCAUCUGUGGGCGGAAGGAGGUGUUUU
Molecule: long non-coding RNA, 353 nt
Filed under: Malus domestica (apple)
Lineage: Eukaryota; Viridiplantae; Streptophyta; Magnoliopsida; Rosales; Rosaceae
Description: long non-coding RNA (MDOM_LNC015379)
Source: RNAcentral